AGUGAACGCUGGCGGUAGGCCUAACACAUGCAAGUCGAACGGCAGCACCGUAAGAGCUUGCUCUUACGGGUGGCGCGUGGCGGACGGGUGAGGAAUACAUCGGAAUCUACUUUUUCGUGGGGGAUAACGUAGGGAAACUUACGCUAAUACCGCAUACGACCUACGGGUGAAAGCAGGGGAUCUUCUGACCUUGCGCGAUUGAGUGAGCCGAUGUCGGAUUCGCUCGUUGGCGGGGUAGAGGCCCACCAAGGCGACGAUCCGUAGCUGGUCUGAGAGGAUGAUACCCUACACUGGAACUGAGACACGUCCCAGACUCUUACGGUGGGCAGCAGUCGGGAAUAUUGGACGAUGGGGGAGAGCCGGAUCCAGCCAUACCGCCUGGGUGAAGAAGGCCUUCUGGUUGGAAAGUCCUGUUGUUGUGAAAGAAAAGCAGCAGGUUAACACCCCGCGGUACUGACGGUACCCAAAGAAUAAGCACCGGCUAACUUCGUG
This 492-nucleotide ribosomal RNA is filed under the name uncultured bacterium. Its description in RNAcentral is "partial 16S ribosomal RNA". It matches the Rfam family "Bacterial small subunit ribosomal RNA", at positions 29 to 507 of the family's 1533-position model. The record is from RNAcentral.